RNAcentral lists this long non-coding RNA (449 nucleotides) under Lynx pardinus (Iberian lynx). Lineage: Eukaryota; Metazoa; Chordata; Mammalia; Carnivora; Felidae. The record is from RNAcentral.
GACUAGAACUUUCUAUGGCUGCUCCGUGCAGGUGAACGCUCAGCCAACUCGGAACCCCGGGGCCCCACCUGACCUUCCUUUGUGAAGAGCCCAGAGCCUUUGUCCAAAGUUGCAUCACUUCCCACCCAGCCCUUCCUGAGCCAACUCCCUGAUGUCUCCCGGAGAACACAGUCGGCAGCGUCCCAAUGACAUCAGGGAAACUCCUAUUUCCAGCAGUUUCUCCUUCAGCUGCAAAAAUGUGCCGUGGUAGACAGGGUGUGGGCUUUUGAAGUCUCUGCAGGAAGCAGCGCUGUUUUGUCAGCACCACAUCUGAGCGCAUCUUCUGUGAGAGCUGUACUUGCUCAGCUGGUGUGCAGCCCUCCCAUCCCCUCACCCUGUCCAUCGCCACACCCGACAGGGCCAGGGAGGGCAGACCCCACACCACGUGCCGGGGGUUAAGGAAGACAGAG